UCUGUGAAUGCUACUUUUCAGUAUCUGUUAUUCUUAACUGUGAUUUGUCGCAGUUAAGAGUCGCAGUUAAGGAACAUAGUUCGUGUAUCCCUCCGCCACUGCUAUUUCUGCGAUUUCUGCUACUUCUGCGAUUUCUGUGACUUCUGCUACUUCUGCGAUUUCUGCUACUUCUGCGAUUUCUGUGACUUCUGCUACUUCUGCGAUUUCUGUGAUUCCUGCGACUUACCACCGUAUGAAAAAGUUACAUCUGUCAACACAGAAAAUUGCAUCUCAACAAACCUGUCAUUGGCAAGUACCUGAACUACAUUUCAGUCACUCAGUAAAGUGAUAACUCAAAAUAUCAUUGUCAACAGAUCUGAAGAAAUUGCCACAGCGUCUUUAGACCGUUUUCGUCAGACGAGAGACACAGUUCUGACUCUGAUUACUGGUUGCUGUACGUAUCUAUCCACAUCAAGGCUGUUUUGGAGAGACUCUUGAAG
Long non-coding RNA from Schistocerca cancellata (South American locust), 479 nucleotides. RefSeq lists it as uncharacterized. NCBI's taxonomy places the organism in Eukaryota, Metazoa, Arthropoda, Insecta, Orthoptera, Acrididae. The record is from RefSeq and is a predicted model, not a curated record. The transcript has 3 exons.